AGUUGUUGAUUGUAAGCGCUCUCAGAGCAAGAAAAUCAAUGUGUUAGAAUUUUACCUACAAAUUUUUCUGUAUGCAGUCAUUUUAUUUAUGUUAGCCUAAACAUGAUUUCACAGAAUCUCCUAUUCUGAACCAUUACAUUUAAAAUUUUUUUUCUCUUCUCCAAUAAGGGGAAUCCCACUUCUCACAAUCUGCUACUAAAAAUUACUUGUUUCAUUUUAAUACCAUCUGUAUUAUCAGUCUGAGAACUGUGAAACUAAACUCUUUAGAAGUAGCAUCAUCAGAAUUGUGUGCCUGCAUAUAGUUUCUUUUGGCUUUAAACUUACAGAUUGUACUCAUUGUCCUUUUUUUCUUAGACUGCUGUUGGUAUUUUUGUCUGUUUACCCCUUGGUGUCCUGGAACUCACUAUGUAGACUUCCCUUUCGUUCAUUUUCAUGAGCGAAGGCUUUUCAUACAUUUAUAAAAUAGAUUCUUUCAUCACAAUCUGCAUUCCAUCCUGAGAUCCUGUGAUCUCAUACUAUUUUGUAAAAUUUGUAGACCUUAAAACAGUUAUAUUUUUAUUGUUUUUUUUUUCUUUUUUUUCUUUUUUUUUAGCUUGCUAUGGGUUUCCAUGGAAUCAUUACAAAUAUAGUUUGUUCUUAUUCACUUCUGUUCAUGCUUGGUGCUGCAGUGCUCUGUGAUUUUUGUGUUAGCACUUAAUCAUGUUAAGGCAAACCUCAGAGGAAUCAACUUAAAAGAAAAAUAGGUUUAUUUUGGUUUAGAGUUUAAGGGAUUUAGUCUAGAACCUAUUUGGUUUUGUCAACUUUGUGCCUAUGAUGAAGCAGUAACAAAAAUGUAUGGUGUAGCAAAACCAUUUCUCUUUGCUGUGCAGACGAGAAGAGGAAGUGGAUAGGAUUCCAGUAUUUCCCCUCUUCAAGGCAUGUCUCCUAUGACUGCAGACUUCCUACUAUUAUUGUACCUCUUAAAGACUCCAUCUCAGUAGCAUGCUGCUCUAGGACAAAGCCUCUUUUUAACACAAGUAGUUAACUAAAUCAUAACAUAUAUAUCUGUUAUAUAGAAUACUUUCACAGCCCCAAACCAACAAAACAAAACCCUGAAACUUUAUUUUUCAUUUUUCCUCUCUCUAUAAAUACUCAUGUAUUUACUUUUUAUUAUUAUUUCUAUUUUUAUUUUAAAAAUUAUUUUAUGCAUAUGGGUAUUUUGCCUUCAAGUAUAUCUAUAUUCCAAUUUGUGCAGAAACCUCAGAGGCUAGAGUAGGGAGGGUUUUAUGUGCUGUGAUGUUCCCAUUUCUUUCAUAUAACUAAGUAAACAAACAUUACACCAACAAAAGAAAGAAAAGAUACCCUGGAACUGGAGUUACAAAUAGUUGUGAGCCACUAUCGGAGUCCAGGGGAUUGAACCUGGGUCCGCUGGAAUAGUAGCUAAUGCUCUUAACUUCAGGGCCAUCACUCCAGCCUGAUACAUUUCCAUUCAUAAAAGUAAAUGCUGAUUUAAUGAAUUAUAACAGACAUUACAUUAUUUUCAUUGCUAUGUAGAGAUCUGAGGAUGUGUCUUUGGAGAAGGAGUGAGGCACACAUAUUCUUAAGACAUUUGUAUGAUCCCCUUGGGAAGGAAAAAGUAAUAUAAAUGAAGACUGGAACACUGCAAGAACAUUAGAAAAUCAUUUGCUAGUGUCAGGCAAUUUGAAAUAGUAGAGAAAGUCAGUCAAGAUGAAGUGUCAAGGUUGCAGGGAGGUAGAUUGAUUUGUAGGGAACUUGGAAAUCUGGACAAGAUUUAAGUGGGUGCGUUGGUAACUGAACCUGUUGAGAUGGAGGAAAAUAAGGGAAAGAGCUAAAUAUCUAAAGAAAGCAGUAUUAAUUAGUUUUCAAAAGGUAAAUGCAUGUGUAGAAUAUAGGGGAGAUUAUCAGGUAAAAUAUACAUAUGUGCUUUAAGGUUUUCUUCUUUGUCUCUUUGCCCGUUCUCUAGUUUCAUUUAUGGGUUUAAAGUCAUAAAAGUAAAUAAGCAGUAAAAAUAUUGAGAGUCAAAAUUUUUAAGUUAAAAAUCUGAAAAUUUUUUAUAUUUUGUUUUCAUGUUUCUUUUUCUCUUUAAUAUAGAUGAAUUAUCACCACCUUGCUCUGAACAACACAACAGGGAACAAAUUUUAAUUGGCUUGGAAAAGUUUAUUCAAAAAGAAUAUGAUGGUAUGUCAUAGGCUAAAAGUUGGUUGUUAUUGCUACUAUAAUCACAUAGUUUUGAGUUUGAUUGACUUAAUGUUUAACUGUUAUAUGUUAUAUACUAUUUUAGUCUCUGUGGCUGUGUUACUAAUAACAGAGAUAAGAACUGCUUGCAUGAGGAGUAUAUUUAAGACAGGAUAGUAGUCAACUUGAGAGAUAAAUAUAAAUAUUUCAGUAAAUAUUAAAUGAUAUUAAAAGUAUUGUGAUAAAAGAAGUGAUAGGUUGGGUAGUAAAUCCCUUUUGAGGUAGCAUUUGAGUUGAGUCUGAAUAAUAUGAAGGAACAAAUUAUAUGAAAUCCUGGAGAGUACAUUAUGUAAAGGAAGGGUAGAUUCCAAGACUUAGAUUCUAUCUGAUGUGUUUAGAGACCAACUGGGAGGUCCAGUAUGUUUGGAGUGGAAUAUGCAAGAUAGGUUGUAAAUAGAAAGACAAGGUCAUAGAGAUAUUUUAAGGACUAGAUCAUUAGAACCUUUUGGACAUUGAUAGAAGGACUUUUCAUUUAGUGAAAGCCAUGUAGAAUUUGUAGCAUUAAAUGAUACGAUCUCAGUGAACAGAUUGUAGCACUAUGAGAGUACAAGCAAGAACAUUGAGAGAACUGCGACAUGAGUACAGAUGAAGCACAGCAGUUCUGGAGGUCAGUGGUCAGAAACGGGUUAUGUUUGAAGAUAGAACUAACAGGAAUUGCCGAAGCAUGUCUAAUGUAAAAGAAAGAAAGAAACCAUGCAUGAUAUGAAAUGAAGGCUUUUGCUCCAAAAUACCAGAAUAGACAAGUUUUGUGUGUUUUGUUUUUGUUUUUUAGCACAAGAAUGAAGAAUCAGGAAUUUUGUGAUUAAAUAUUUUCAAAAAGGAUAUUUAUAGUAAUUUAUAUAAGGCUGGAGAGAUGCCUUACUAGGUAGUGUUUGUAAGCAUGAGGACCUGAAUUUUAUUCCCAGAAUCAAUAUAAAAACACAGGGUGUAGGGUAUGCAGAGAUGGCUCAGCAGUUGAGAACACUUCUUCCAGAGAACUGGAGUUUGAUUCUUAGUACUAGUAUUCAGUAGACUAUCUGUAACUCUAGCUCUAGGAGAUUCAACACUCUCUUUUGGUCUCUACAGGGACUUGCAUGCGUGUGUCCAUACAUGUACUCAUGUGUACACAUUUGUAACUGGAGUACUGGAGAGGCAAUGAGAGGUCCUGUUCCUAGUGCUCACUAAUCAGCUAUCCUAGCCUAGUUGAUGAGGGGCAGGCUAAUCUUAAGUCUGUCUACUCCCUUUUAAAUAAAACUCAACAUUCAAUUUUAUUUGAUCAUCAUAGCUCCUUUUUUAUGAAUAUAUUAUAUAUUUGAAAAUUAAGGUCUCAUACUUUGCAGUAUUUUAUAUUGCAAAUACUUUUAAAAAUAUUUUGUUUUAGUAGAUUUCAAAUGAAAACUCCUAAAAGUCUGGACCUCUUAGGCUGGUGAGAUGACUCAUUGGGUAAAAGUGCUCAGCCUACUGACCAGAAUUUGAUCCCUUAGACCCAGGAGGCAGAUGGAGACAACCAACUUCUGUGAAUUGUUUUCUGCCUUCCAAACAUAAGUGUUGUGGCACACACAUGCACAUGUACAAAUAAAGUUUUAAAAAUUAAAAAUACAUGGACUAUAUCACAAAUUUAUAUGCCAUCUUUGCAUAGAGGCCUUGCUAAUCUCUAUAUUGUUUUAGUGUUGUUAUAUGUGCUGCUGAACUGCUGAGCCCUUUAGUUUCUUUUAUCUUUCUUCAUUAUCAUUGAAAUUUAAUCAGUAUUACAUGGAAUGAUUUUUUUUCAGAGCAUGAAAUUUAUUGUCUAACUAUAUAAUUAAAGGCCAGUGAGAUGGCUUAGCAGGUGAAGGCACUUGCCACCAAGUAUGACAAUCUGAGUUCAGUCUCUGGGACCUACAUAGUAAACAAAGACAUCCAACCCAGACAAGUUGUCUUCUAUCUAGAUGUGCAUAUUGCAUGCCUCCACUAAUAAAUACAUAAAUUUAAAUGUGUACUUAAACUUGUAAAUUAUUUGUUUGAGAGAGUGUUAUUGGAGAAUGAGAAGGAACAAUUGUAACAGGGUUUAUAUCUAGUGAAUUGAGCUGAAUAUGGGAGGAAAAUUCCCUAUAUAUUGAGGUGAGAAUUUAAAAGUACUUGAAUUCUACACUGAAAGCACAGGUUUAAAGAGAUGAGCUAUUAAAUAUUGAGCUUAACCUUUGGUACUCCUGUUGAAGAACAACAUUAGAUGGUUGAGCUGGAAGAAGCUGAAGGUCUUAUGAUUGACUUGUGCAGGUCGAGCAAGGUAUUAAAUGAUGUCAUACCUUCCUGGUGAGUGUCUGAAUAGUAAUGCUCUUUGCUGAGAGUUGGUGUAUUAAUUACUUGUCUCCUUGCUUUGACAAAACACCUGAAAAGAGCACUUUUAAGGAAGGAUGGGGGGAUUUAUUUUGGCUUACAGUUUCAGAGAUUAGAGUCUUUCAUGGCAGCAGGAGCAGGGCACAGUGUGUCCAGGUAGGAAGCAGGAAAUGGUGAAGAUUUGUGUUCAGCACAAUUUCUCCUUUUUAGUCAGUCCAUGUAAUCAUACCAACCACAUUAAGGAUAGGUACUCUACCUCAGAUAUCAUAAUCUAGAUAAUUUCUCAUAAACGUGUUUAGUGAUUCCCCCAUAGAACUAUUACAUCAACUUUAUCCAUCACAGUUGGAAUUAUAGGAAUAAUAGUCGGUCUGAAUGACAUAGAUACUUUAUACCUAUACAAUUUAUGAUACGUGG
Molecule: long non-coding RNA, 4944 nt
Filed under: Mus musculus (house mouse)
Lineage: Eukaryota; Metazoa; Chordata; Mammalia; Rodentia; Muridae
Description: long non-coding RNA chr4:108518115-108523059
Source: RNAcentral